AAGUUGACCUCAAAUCAGUAGAUCCA
RNAcentral lists this ribosomal RNA (26 nucleotides) under Yamadazyma vaughaniae. Its description in RNAcentral is "[Candida] vaughaniae partial 26S ribosomal RNA". Lineage: Eukaryota; Fungi; Ascomycota; Pichiomycetes; Serinales; Debaryomycetaceae. The record is from RNAcentral.